UGGCAGGUCAGCAUACUGCCGUGAAUACGUUCCCGGGCCUUGUACACACCGCCCGUCACACCAUGAGAGUUGGGGAUACCCGAAGCCUGUGAGCUAACAUUAUGAGGCAGCAGUCGAAGGUAGAAUCAAUGAUUGGGGUGAAGUCGUAACAAGGUACC
Molecule: ribosomal RNA, 158 nt
Filed under: uncultured bacterium
Lineage: Bacteria
Description: partial 16S ribosomal RNA
Rfam family: Bacterial small subunit ribosomal RNA
Source: RNAcentral